RNAcentral lists this ribosomal RNA (253 nucleotides) under uncultured bacterium. RNAcentral's name for it is "partial 16S ribosomal RNA". It matches the Rfam family "Bacterial small subunit ribosomal RNA", at positions 524 to 776 of the family's 1533-position model. The record is from RNAcentral.
UACGUAGGUGGCAAGCGUUGUCCGGAUUUACUGGGCGUAAAGAGCGCGCAGGCGGUCGGAUAAGUCGAAUGUGAAAGCCCCCGGCUUAACUGGGGAGGGUCAUUCGAUACUGUUCGACUCGAAGGCAGGAGAGGGAGGUGGAAUUCCCGGUGUAGUGGUGAAAUGCGUAGAUAUCGGGAGGAACACCAGUGGCGAAGGCGACUUCCUGGCCUGUUCUUGACGCUGAGGCGCGAAAGCUAGGGGAGCAAACGGG